UACGGAGGGUGCAAGCGUUAUCCGGAUUUACUGGGUUUAAAGGGUGCGUAGGCGGAUUUGUAAGUCAGUGGUGAAAGCCUGGAGCUUAACUCCGGAAUUGCCAUUGAUACUGCUUUUCUUGAGUACAGUUGAGGUGCGCGGAAUGUGUCAUGUAGCGGUGAAAUGCUUAGAUAUGACACAGAACACCGAUUGCGAAGGCAGCUCGCUAAACUGUAACUGACGCUGAGGCACGAAAGCGUGGGGAUCGAACAGG
RNAcentral lists this ribosomal RNA (253 nucleotides) under uncultured bacterium. Its description in RNAcentral is "partial 16S ribosomal RNA". It matches the Rfam family "Bacterial small subunit ribosomal RNA", at positions 524 to 776 of the family's 1533-position model. The record is from RNAcentral.